AAAACACGGCUGCGAAUUCUUUGACACUCCAUCCGUGGAAAAGUGGGGAUCUAUGUCAUCUCCCCUUGAAUCUGGGUGGGCUUGUGACUGCUUGUGUCUGACAAUAGAAACCAUGGAAGUGAUGCCAUGUGACUUCUGAGGCUGGGUCACAAAAGGCCACGCAGCUUCCAUGUUUCCUGGAACAGUCCUUCUUGGAGCUGUUAAAAAAAAAAAUUCAACUGAGGACACUUUAAAGAUCUUAUUGGCUUUAUUCAAUGAUUCAUGAAUCGGGCAGCAUCCAGUCUAGCAGAUAGAAAGGAGCUCCAAGGAGCUGUAUAAAAUGAAAGACUUUCACAGGCAGAAGGGAGAAGGAACAAGGAAAAUAUACCAUGCAAAAACGAACCCUGAAUCUCUGUGUAAGAAGUCUGGAAACCCUGAAGCUGCCAUGCUGGAGAGACCACGUGGAGGUGCUUGAGUCCCAGUCCCAGCUGAACUCCUUCCAGCCUUCCCCACGAAGGCACCUGACAGCUCCAUUUCCUCAAGGCUGAUGCUGGUAAUGCUGUGUCUUCAUCCGGAGGCCAGUAAGUUAGCUAAAAACGAUGAGAGAAUGCUGUGUUCUCCUGUACCUAAUGUUCACUCGAUGUCCAGUGGCCACCGCUCAAUGACUCCUGUCCCCUUGGGCUUCAGCCCCAAUCCCACUAGCUCAUUUCUCUUCAGUCCUGGGCAUGUGAAACAAGCUGCUCUAAAUCAUAACAGAAACCAGCAGGUCUUUCCAGUGAGUUUGGCUGCCUUUCCUGCUCUGACCUCCUUUUAGCAGUAGGAAGAUUGCCAUCAACUCCUCAUCAUUUUGUCAAAUGAAAAAGACUUGGAUUUGGGCCCCCUCCAUUCCCAAGAAGAAAAUGGAUUUCCUAGGGCCUGGGCAAAGUCAUUGUUGUUACUGAUUUUAAUUGGUGAUUAAGCUCUGAACACCUUGAGAAUUAAGCUAGUUUUGAUAGCCCAGAUCUACAGGAAGCCAAAUUGUCACAGUUCUGCAUACUUACCAUGUGUUAAAGUGACAUUUCAGAUAUCUUUCCAUCUAAUUUUGGAGAAUUUUUGUUUGAUUUUGCACUUGGUGAAUGUUAAUAGUAUGUGGGGGUUAUGUGUGCUGAAUACAUUGACAUUUUCUCUCAUGAAUGAAGAACCAUAUCUCUUCUACCCAACGACAACUUUUGCUGUGUUCUGGGUGCAACUGGUGCAGAGGAUUGUGGGACAAGACCCCUGGCUAUAUUCUUUGCUUCAAUUCCUCUGUCCUCUGGCAGUUUCAUCUCACAGUGCUCAGGAACCAGGAGCCCCAGGGGAAACCUCAUUAGGCAGCCACUUGUCCCUGAGGGUUCAGAGCAUCCGCUGUAAGCUGCAUGGGAAGGGAGAUCAAGCUCUGUCGAGUCAUGUGGUGUCAGCUCAUGAGCACAAGAAUGUGCUCCAGAAUCC
RNAcentral lists this long non-coding RNA (1446 nucleotides) under Equus caballus (horse). Its description in RNAcentral is "lncRNA (ENSECAG00000048669.1)". Lineage: Eukaryota; Metazoa; Chordata; Mammalia; Perissodactyla; Equidae. The record is from RNAcentral.